GAUGCUAAUACCGGAUAACAACAGAUGAUGCCUAUCAACUGUUUAAAAGAUGGUUCUGCUAUCACUAUUGGAUGGACCUGCGGUGCAUUAGCUAGUUGGUAGGGUAACGGCCUACCAAGGCGAUGAUGCAUAGCCGAGUUGAGAGACUGAUCGGCCACAUUGGGACUGAGACACGGCACAAACUCCUACGGGAGGCAGCAGCC
Molecule: ribosomal RNA, 203 nt
Filed under: uncultured Lactobacillus sp.
Lineage: Bacteria; Bacillati; Bacillota; Bacilli; Lactobacillales; Lactobacillaceae
Description: partial 16S ribosomal RNA
Rfam family: Bacterial small subunit ribosomal RNA
Source: RNAcentral